ACCUGUCACCCCCAUGCUGACCGAGGCUCUGUCGGGGAGGCGGGGAGCAGGCUGGUGGCUGCCGCCCCUCCACCUCCAGUGCGCCUUUUGGCUAGGGCGGUAGAGGGCGCUGGAGAUGUUGGGGGCGCCGCCUGUGAUGUUGCCACCUCUGUGACGUCCCUGCCGCAACCUGGCUGUUAUGGAGCCCUGCUCAGGAUUCCCUGUGCGAGUGGCGGCGGAGGGAGUCGUCCUCCCAGAGCUGUCUGUCCGCAGCCAGAACUCCUCCCGAAGACCUCAGGGCUUUCGGCUCCAGCAGCAGGCCGCGGGUGAGCCUGGCGUCCGCAGGGCUGGACUGUGCACCUGCUCUGCCCACACCACACACAAGGUCACUGACCUUCCCGUGGGCCCACGACCCCUCCAAGGACCUACCUGCUGGAUCAACCCAAGGGACAGGCUGUCGAUGCUGAGGCAGGAGAGAAUCUGCUCCUGCUCCUCCAGAGAGAACGGCUGGGACAGACUGUUCAGGAAUAAUUCUGCGGGAAGAGUGGAAGGUGGCUGUGAAAGGCGGCGAGGAGGCCAGCUGUGUUGUCAGGUAUCAGUAGCAAAUUCCAAAACUACAGCAACAGCUCCAGAGGACUUUGUUAACAGAAAGAGAAGACUUACAAUGAGCCCCGAGGCAACAUCAACUCAAGAAUUUCCAGGAAAACUAGCUGCCCUGACCCACCCCUCUCCUGCCCCAUCCCCACAGUGGGUGCUUCCUGAGGGCACUGUUUCUCUGGCCUGGGGCAGCUCAGCCCUGGGGCCAUUCUUGUCAUUGCAUCACUGCCACCUGGCUUUGGUGAGGGGCUGUGCAAGCUCUCUCUUGUUUUAUUUAUUUCCUUUCAUUCCUCCCACCAUUCCUGCCCUGCUGUCCCCCAGGUGACAUUCUAUUAUGUUCCAUGUAGCACUUUUGAAUUGAUUGCAUGCCUGCAAAA
Microcebus murinus (gray mouse lemur) is the source of this 953-nucleotide long non-coding RNA. RefSeq lists it as uncharacterized. The record is from RefSeq and is a predicted model, not a curated record. NCBI's taxonomy places the organism in Eukaryota, Metazoa, Chordata, Mammalia, Primates, Cheirogaleidae.